UCCUUAUCAAGAGAAGUGGAGGGACAGGCCCUAUGAAGCUUCAGCAACCGGUACAGUCGUACACGGUGCUAAAUCCGACAGAUUAAUUCUGGCAGAUGAGGA
Molecule: non-coding RNA, 102 nt
Organism: Turicibacter sanguinis PC909
Lineage: Bacteria; Bacillati; Bacillota; Erysipelotrichia; Erysipelotrichales; Turicibacteraceae
Source: Rfam